This 616-nucleotide long non-coding RNA is filed under the name Parus major (Great Tit). Its description in RNAcentral is "lncRNA (ENSPMJG00000010011.1)". The record is from RNAcentral. Lineage: Eukaryota; Metazoa; Chordata; Aves; Passeriformes; Paridae.
GCCAGCUUCAGUUGUAAUCAGUGCUAAAGAAAUAAUGCUGCUUCCAGCACACUGAGCUACAGCUGGAGGGGCUGCAUGAAUUCCUCAAGGCUACACAUCCAUACGAAUGUCGAAGCCUGAAAGGGAGAGGUCAGCCACACCUCCUACACACAGCUUUCUGCCUCACCUUUGCUUUGCUCCGGGCUGAUCAUCAAAAUUAGGCUUUCUGCCCUCCAAGUCCCCUUCAAGCAGGGUGGGGAGUCAUCCCACACAGCACCUGUGAAGCUGUUUCGGCAAGAGAACCUGGCCAGACCUAGCACCUCAACACUGGGACCCUGCUCAUUCAGAAAAGGCCUGCAAUACAGUAUGGAAGUAUUUAGCAUGCGCACAAGAGUUAGAGUGUUCACAUGGAGAAAAGCAGUGCUGGCUCUCCUCUCCUGCCACUCAUUACACUUGGAAGAUAAUUAGGACUUGAACACCCAUGACCAGGUCCACUGCCAAAUGUGAGGACUAAUCCUUUCUCCGGAAAAAUAGACUGAAGUCUUUACAACACAGUCAUCAAGUCAAUGCUUACCAACUGGGGAUAAAUCCAGUGCCCUAGAGGGCAUUAGUCCUGCUGACAGAAAAGGCAGCUAAG